GACGAACGCUGGCGGCGUGCUUAACACAUGCAAGUCGAACGGAAAGGCCCUGCUUUCAGGGUACUCGAGUGGCGAACGGGUGAGUAACACGUGGGUGAUCUGCCCUGCACUUCGGGAUAAGCCUGGGAAACUGGGUCUAAUACCGGAUAGGAGCCAUUUUUAGUGUGAUGGUUGGAAAGUUUUUUCGGUGUAGGAUGAGCUCGCGGCCUAUCAGCUUGUUGGUGGGGUAAUGGCCUACCAAGGCGGCGACGGGUAGCCGGCCUGAGAGGGUGGACGGCCACAUUGGGACUGAGAUACGGCACAGACUGCUACGGGAGGCAGAAGUGGGGAAGAUUGCACAAUGGGCGCAAGCCUGAUGAAGCGAGGCCGCGUGGGGGAUGACGGCCUUCGGGUUGUAAAAUCCUUUCGCUAGGGACGAAGCUUUUUGUGACGGUACCUAGAUAAGAAGCACCGGCUAACUACGUG
RNAcentral lists this ribosomal RNA (465 nucleotides) under uncultured bacterium. Its description in RNAcentral is "partial 16S ribosomal RNA". It matches the Rfam family "Bacterial small subunit ribosomal RNA", at positions 28 to 507 of the family's 1533-position model. The record is from RNAcentral.